Long non-coding RNA from Camelus dromedarius (Arabian camel), 6251 nucleotides. RefSeq lists it as uncharacterized. The record is from RefSeq and is a predicted model, not a curated record. Lineage: Eukaryota; Metazoa; Chordata; Mammalia; Artiodactyla; Camelidae. The transcript has 2 exons.
GAGUGAAACAGGUUGGGGACCUGGGAGUAAGCCCUGUGGCUCCUUGGCGCGUUUAAGACAGAGUCCGGCCUUCCUUCCUUGAGGGAUGUGAGGCAGAUUGAGGAAGGCGCUCUGUAUGUUUUUAACGUCAACAACCAACAUUAACCAGCCUCGUGCCAGGAGUCAACGUGUACUGAUAACACACAGCCGCUAGCCAGUCCAGGUGGGAAAAUAAGGUGAGACUGAUUUCAUUAGAUUAUAUUAGACCUUCAUGCAAAAAAGGAUUUUAAGAUAAAUCACGUAAGUUCGUAGAAUGCAAUGAUACAUGCACUUCUGGACUGUUUUAAAAUAAGGGCAGGAGCCAUAAAAAAGAAUGAAAUAAUGCCAUUUGCAGCAACUUGGAAACGCCUAGAGAUUAUCAUACUAAAUGAAGUAAGGCAGACAAAGGCAAAUACCAUAUGAUACCACUUUUAGGUGGAAUCUAAAAAAAAAAAGACACAAAUGAACUUAUUCAAAAAAAGAAUAGAAAACAAACUUAUGGUUACCUAAGGGGAAAAGGAAGGGGAGGGAUAAAUUAGGAGUAUGGGAUUAACAGAUACACACUAUAUGUAACAUAGAUAAACAACAAGGACCUACUGUGUAGCGCAGGGAACUAUAUUCAGUAGCUUGUAAUAACCUAUAAUGGAAAUACGAAAAAGAAUAGACAUAAUGUGUAACUGAAUCACUUUGCUGUACACCUGAGACUAACACAACAUUGAAAAUCAGCUAUACUUCAGUUUUCAAAAAUAAUCAAAUAAGAGUGGGAAACAAGUUGAAGACAGAUGAGCACUGAAAAGGCUGACUGAUGUUCUGGUACAUGUGGGUCACCAACUGGACUGUGAGCAUCCUAAGACCAGUAGGAAGAGGGAAAUGUCAGUUAUGAUUCACAGUGUUCUUGUCCCCUAAGAGAAGCAUAAUGAUUCCUGAUGCUGGCAGUGCUUUCUCCCCUGGUACUUCGUUGUUGUUUUUUAAGACAGUAUGUAAAGAACCUCAGCAACUCUGAAACAGGGCCGAGGUUUUCCCUGCGUUGCUUCCUGUCCUGGCCUUUGCUGUAAGUGGGUGGUAUGAUGCAGUAAAAGCCAUCAGGAAUGCCACUCCCAAGUCUUUCUUAAUCCAAGGACUGUCUUUUAAAAUACCUUGAACAUUUAUUCAUCUGCUCAAAAUAGCAGUAUAGAAAACCCACUUUCACAACCUCAGAAUUCUGGUCAGAUGACAUAGGAAAUCCUCCCUGGUACACACAGCAGCAAUAGAUUUAAAAAGAGAGAAACCAAAAAGAAAGAACUGGGCUCAAAAACAAGGUAAGCAUCACAGUGGACCAGAAAUGGAAAAAAGAUUUGAUGAGCAGGGCUGAAGCCAUAUCCUACACUUCCCUACAGGGCAGUGGCAGCUGGAAAGUAGGUUCCAGCACAAUAAAAAGUCAUAAAAUUGUGUCAUUGGAGGAACAAAUGAACGAGUCCCUUCUGUGGAGGGACUCGGUCCCUCCAUGAUAACACAGGGCUAACAACUCAGGAAUUUAGAAAAUGAAAAAGCAUAACAGAGUGAUAAAUCCUAAUGUUUCAUUAGACAAACACUUCAGAUAGCCUUCUUGGAGUUUGCUGAAUUAUGGCUCUAAGGACCAGUCUCUCCACCCCUGCUAGGAAUGGAAAGGUCAUCUCUUCUACCUGAAAGUCACAAUCAUCCCUAGGUUUUCAGGUUCCUUAAGAACUUUGCAAACUCACUUCCCCACAGAUGCCACAGCUCCACCUGACCGGAUGAGAACUUUCCAGGCUUGACCUUAGAUACUUCAAGAUGUCGUGGUCUCAGAAGACAUCGUAGGAAAAUGUUGGGGUCAGCCAGUUCUGGCUUAUAAAGAAUGGGGACCACAGUAGGUCACUAUGAAAUGAGAAGCAGGUAAGGUCCCUUCCUGACCCUUGGAUUGAGGAGCACUGAUACCAUUCAUGCCCAGGAAGGGAUACAGGAAGGCAGGUAGAAAGGAAGAAGAAAGAGUCACACAGCAGGCUCUGUUUAUGAUCCCACAUAAAAUGACAGAAAGACUUAAGGAGCUUAGCUUCAUCAUCCGCAGAUAGCAAAGAAAAGGGGAAGGAUGUCAAAAUAAGAUAUCAGGGGAUCUUACUGUAUGUGAACCUGAUUCACAUCCUUUAGUCCCUCACUACUCAAAAGUGUGGUCCUUGAAUGCUUCGGCAUCACCUGGGGAUUUACUAGAAAUGCAGAAUCCCAGGCCUCACCCUAGACCCACUGAAUCAGCAACUGCACUUUAACAAAAUCCCCAAUUCAUUCACGAAGUUCAAGAAACAUUGCCAACGUCCACCUUUGUCAUUCCCUGCAUCUGGGCUGCUCUAGACGCCUUACAAGACUCUUCACAGAUUGUUGUGGAAGUAAAAGAUCACAGACUGGGAAUGUAAAGCAAGACUGUCAUUUAUAAGAACAUCACUGCAGGGAGAAAGGCAUUGCUUAACAGCCAGUGUCUGAAGACCACCUCAGUAACCCAUCAAAAUGAAUGGCUGUCUCUAAGAACAGCCUUCCCAGACUCAGUCUCUAGUCUCUAGCCCUUAGGAGGCAUGCUCUGGAAAUGAUGACUGGGGACAAGGCAGAGUGUAAACCAAAAGACUAUCACUCCCCUAGGGGAUGCUGUCCUGCCCCCCAUUAGAUAGAUGAUUGCUCCUCCCCAGAGGAGGCCUGGUAUACUGACAUUAGCUCUGUCUGAACCUGGAAAGCAUUCAGAAAACUAAUCAGUCAAAUGGCUAGAGCUGGGAAGUUUGCUUUUAAAAUAAAGAAUCCCAGUCUAGGAGGAAGUGUUGCAUAGAUGCUGAAAUUUAAAUAGCUAUAACUAAACAGUUCAUUUUUAGCAGUUAAACUACAUAUUCUCUGUUUUGUAGAUAAAAGAAAUCUAUUUCCUCCACAACGUGUUGGGCUGCAAAUGAUAUUCAGAGAUCCCCAGGGUCUUAAGAACGGCCACCUAUUUGAAAAUAAUAAAUAAUUUAAAAAUAAUUUAAAAAGAAAAAUGCAAUUUUAGACUGACCCGAAACAAAGAAUAGAUUAGAGGCUUGGGCCAUGUCCAGGGCAUCAAAGGGAAGCAAAGUUGUCAUUUAAAUCUUGCUGAUUAGCAAAUGCUCAAGCUAAAGGCAGGGGAAGAGCCAGCCAGCACCACCCCUACCCUUCAUCAGAAGUUAAUUUUGGAAUCCCAAUUUUUAAAAACCUUUAUUCCAAAUAGGAAAAUUUUGUAUUAAAUGCCUUUUAAAUUUCCACAAGUGAUUUGUUAUUGUAUAAUGAAACUAAGAAAUGUAUUAUUCUAAUUGCAUUUUAUUUUAGUAAACUUUAUUUUUGCUUUUGUAAGUUUUAUAUUUAUCAGAAGGACUCUACACCAGAGUUGUCUGUAAUUAAAAAUACAGGUAAUAGUAAAGGCAAGAUGUGUACUGUGGCCCAGGAAUUAAAAGAUGCUUUCACAUAAAACCUUUAGAGCCUGUAGGUGAUAUGUCAUUAUUUCUCAAUUAUGUAAGUAAUAGGGAUCUAUAUCAAAAUAAUAGCUAUCUCCCUGAUCUCCUGCAGUAAAAAGAAACAUAUCAGCUGUUAGUAGGCCAGGGUAACACUACCUGGGAAAAUCACGUGAGUUUAUUCACUAUAAAUCUUGGUAGCACAAUAUGAAACACCUAUUAAAUUGGCGAGAGAACGUUAAUACAUUUUUAAACACAAUCUAAGUUUUAAGAUGGGAUUGAUUAUAGUAAAAACGUAUUUUCCAACUGUAAAAGAUGUUCAUUCUGAUAUUUUCAAAAUCAAAAUAAUAUGCAGAACCAGUUAGUUCGGCUAGAGAUCACACAUGUGUGAAUCUUUUAACUGUGUUUUAAGUGACAGUAAAUGGACAUGAUAGGGGUGAAAUGAAACAUGUACAGGAUGUUGUACACUGUGCUGUUUCAAAAUAGAACAGCAAUGUGGAUGGACCCCCCCCACCUCCAGGAUCUGAAGAGAAGGAACUGCUUGCUAAAUGUUGCCACCUUCUACAAACCAUCAGCUUUUAGAAUACUGGUACCCUCAAGCUGAAAGCACAAUGAAACAGUGGAACUGAACCCCCCAUCAGAUGAAUAUUUAAAGAGCUGAAUGAGAGAUUAUUAGUCACUGGGGGGCUGAGAACCAAGGGGACUGUACAGAAAACCUUGACCUCUAUUCAGUAGCCUUAACGCUCAUAUUUAUAUCAUAUUGUUAUUUUAGAACAAAUUGUCAGAUGGAGCAAAAAGCAGUUUUAUCAGUCAAAAUAAAGAGAAAGGAGAUAAAAUCAAAGAAUCAAAAGAAUUUUAAGUUAGAAUACCUUAAAGUAUUGAAAAUAGUUUAUGUGAACUCAUGUCUUUAAGAAAUGCCUUUUCAAGCCUUGUUCAUUGAUAUGGCCUCACAGUAACUUUACCCCAAAAUGCACCCUAGUGCAGAUACCAGUGUAUGUGCUACUUUUUCCAUUAAGAAGGGGGAAAAAAAAAAGAUUCUUGGAGAAGUGGCUGAUUCAGUGUUAGGAGAGGUUCCUGGUAAGCUGGGACACCUUGUGCCAGCAAGCAGAGAGGCUUCAAAGAAAAAUAGGGUCCUGUCAAAAGGAUGUUGGAGGGGGAGGGUAUAGCUCAGUGGUAGAGUGCAUGCUUGGCAUGCAUGAAGUCCUGAGUUCAAUCCCCAGGACCUCAAUUUAAAAAAUAAAUAAAUAAAUGAACCUAAUUACCUCCCCCCCCAAAAAAUUUGAAAAUAAAUACAUUUUUUAAAAAAGGAUCCUGGAGCCAAUCCUAAGGGACCCCCUACUCGCCAAAUUAGGACAAUUUGAAAUGCGCCAAAGGUAUGAAGAGCUGUGAGUGCAGGACGAUCCACAGUAAAAGGUGGGCUAUUCUAAAAGAAUACAGAAUAAGAUGUUCUGGCUGAGUCUUGUUACUUGGUUAUGUCUGUAUUAUUGAUUCAUGUAUUAUACUGAUGAAGGUCUGUAAAUUGUAAAUUCUUCCUUUAGAAGGCUGUUCCUGACCCAAGGGAGCAUCAGUACUAAGACCCCCUAAGCUGUGAUGCCAAAGCAGAGAGAGCCACUGUUGGCCUCCCUGGCCAUGGUGCCUCGACCAGUCAGGGAAGCAGAAACCACUGACAGGGAUACGAUACUGAGAAUUGGCUACAGACACUCCAAAGGUGCUAACACUCCAAACACGGGGCUCCGGGGGCAACUCAGAGAAUAGAAAUAGCAGAAAGGCACUACCGGCCUGCAAGGAGAUGGAGUGACUUCAGCCUGGGAGCCAGGGGCUCCUGGUGGAAGCCGGAACCUCACAAAUCUGCCCGUGGGAGAUGGAGCCACAGGGAAAGCAGCUGCUGCUGUGGGCACCGCCAGAGCUGGGGAGACGGGAGAGUUCCCCCCGCCUCUCCACGCCUCUGGCCUCCUACCCACCCCUUGGCUGAACCCCGUUGAAAGCCAGACAGCAGGGAGCCUGAAAGAGCCUCCUUCCUCAUGAAUCACUGGAGAGAGGGGACUCAUGGCCGGGGGUGGGAGGAGAUCGGAGGGAAAAGAGGCCAGUAGCCAGCCCCUGUCCUUCUGAAACUCUUCCCUGGAGUUCUUUUUAAAACUCAUUUUCUGUUUCUAUUCCUAUGUUAUGGGCUGAAUUGAAAGGACCCCCUCACAGCCCCACAACAGAAAUUCUUCCACUGAGGUUCUGACCCUCAGCACCUCAGAAUGUGACUCUGUUGGGAAACAGGGCCUUUGUAGUGGUGACAAGAGUAAAAUGAGGUCACGCACGUGGGCUCCAACCCAGCGUGGCUGGAGUCCUCAGGAGACUGUGUGAAGACACAGUGAGAAAAAGGCCACGUACAAGGCAAGGGAGGAGUCCUCAGAAGAAACCAGCUCUGCCAAUACCGUGAUCUUGGACCUCUGGCCUCCAGACUGUCAGUUUCUGCUGUUUAAGCCAGUCUGUGGUCCUUUGUUACGGCAACCAGAGCUGACUCAUACACCCUAGUUCUCAGCACCUCUUCUGUGUCUCUGACCCUUUGAACACAUGGGGCACACUUGAGCCUUUGCCCCCAACUUCUGGCCUCACCUACAUUCUCUUCCUGGGUGGUUCCAUCUGCCCACUCAGUUUCAGUGGCCACCCCUCUGGCCACAAUGCUCAGAUCCUCUGGCCUCGCCCAGGCUCCAGUGCCACAAUCGUGGUUUCUCCGUAUCUCUACUUGGAUAGUCUCUUGGUAUCUCAGAAGCAACAUGAAUAAAACCAGAUGCAUUUUUCUCCCACAGAUUA